Molecule: small RNA, 27 nt
Filed under: Bombyx mori (domestic silkworm)
Lineage: Eukaryota; Metazoa; Arthropoda; Insecta; Lepidoptera; Bombycidae
Description: ovarian small RNA-21188
Source: RNAcentral
UACGUGCUAACAUCCAGAAGGAGCAGG